RNAcentral lists this ribosomal RNA (217 nucleotides) under uncultured bacterium. Its description in RNAcentral is "partial 16S ribosomal RNA". It matches the Rfam family "Bacterial small subunit ribosomal RNA", at positions 116 to 334 of the family's 1533-position model. The record is from RNAcentral.
CGCGUGGACCUGCCUCAUACAGGGGGAUAGCAGCUGGAAACGGCUGAUAAAACCGCAUAAGCGCACAGCAUCGCAUGAUGCAGUGUGAAAAACUCCGGUGGUAUGAGAUGGACCCGCGUCUGAUUAGCUUGUUGGUGAGGUAACGGCCCACCAAGGCGACGAUCAGUAGCCGGCCUGAGAGGGUGACCGGCCACAUUGGGACUGAGACACGGCCCAA